This 467-nucleotide ribosomal RNA is filed under the name uncultured bacterium. RNAcentral's name for it is "partial 16S ribosomal RNA". It matches the Rfam family "Bacterial small subunit ribosomal RNA", at positions 28 to 506 of the family's 1533-position model. The record is from RNAcentral.
GACGAACGCUGGCGGCGUGCUUAACACAUGCAAGUCGAACGGAAAGGCACUGCUUUUGUGGGGUGCUCGAGUGGCGAACGGGUGAGUAACACGUGAGUAACCUGCCCUUGACUUUGGGAUAACUUCAGGAAACUGGGGCUAAUACCGGAUAGGAGCUCCUGCUGCAUGGUGGGGGUUGGAAAGUUUCGGCGGUUGGGGAUGGACUCGCGGCUUAUCAGCUUGUUGGUGGGGUAGUGGCUUACCAAGGCUUUGACGGGUAGCCGGCCUGAGAGGGUGACCGGCCACAUUGGGACUGAGAUACGGCCCAGACUCCUACGGGAGGCAGCAGUGGGGAAUAUUGCACAAUGGGCGGAAGCCUGAUGCAGCAACGCCGCGUGCGGGAUGACGGCCUUCGGGUUGUAAACCGCUUUCGCCUGUGACGAAGCGUGAGUGACGGUAAUGGGUAAAGAAGCACCGGCUAACUACGU